AACGCACAUUGCGCCCUCUGGUAUUCCGGGGGGCAUGCCUGUUCGAGCGUCAUUAUAACCACUCAAGCUCUCGCUUGGUAUUGGGAUUCGCGAUCUCGCGGUCCCUAAAACCAGUGGCGGUGCCUGUCGGCUCUACGCGUAGUAAUCUCUCUCGCGAUUGAGUCCGGCGGGUCUGCUCGCCAGCAAACCCCUAAAUUUUCAGGUUGACCUCGGAUCAGGUAGGGAUACCCGCUGAACUUAA
RNAcentral lists this unclassified non-coding RNA (241 nucleotides) under uncultured fungus. Its description in RNAcentral is "partial contains 5.8S ribosomal RNA, internal transcribed spacer 2, and large subunit ribosomal RNA". The stretch from base 1 to 52 matches the Rfam family "5.8S ribosomal RNA", at positions 103 to 154 of the family's 154-position model. Lineage: Eukaryota; Fungi. The record is from RNAcentral.